CCUACGGGAGGCAGCAGUGAGGAAUAUUGGUCAAUGGACGAGAGUCUGAACCAGCCAAGUAGCGUGAAGGAUGACUGCCCUAUGGGUUGUAAACUUCUUUUAUAUGGGAGUAAAACAGGGUAUGCAUACCCUCUUGUAUGUACCAUGUGAAUAAGGAUCGGCUAACUCCGUGCCAGCAGCCGCGGUAAUACGGAGGAUCCGAGCGUUAUCCGGAUUUAUUGGGUUUAAAGGGAGCGUAGGUGGAAUGUUAAGUCAGUUGUGAAAGUUUGCGGCUCAACCGUAAUAUUGCAGUUGAAACUGGCAGUCUUGAGUGCAGUAGAGGUGGGCGGAAUUCGUGGUGUAGCGGUGAAAUGCAUAGAUAUCACGAAGAACCCCGAUUGCGAAGGCAGCCUACCGGGGUGCGACUGACGCUGAGGCACGAAGGUGCGGGUAUCGAACAGGAUUAGAUACCCGAGUAGUC
RNAcentral lists this ribosomal RNA (460 nucleotides) under uncultured bacterium. RNAcentral describes it as "partial 16S ribosomal RNA". It matches the Rfam family "Bacterial small subunit ribosomal RNA", at positions 338 to 795 of the family's 1533-position model. The record is from RNAcentral.